RNAcentral lists this unclassified non-coding RNA (4192 nucleotides) under Pectinophora gossypiella (pink bollworm). RNAcentral describes it as "protein transport protein Sec24A". Lineage: Eukaryota; Metazoa; Arthropoda; Insecta; Lepidoptera; Gelechiidae. The record is from RNAcentral.
UGUAAAUUGCUCAGCCACGUAAGUCAGGGUCGUAUUUUUCUGUAAUUUUUGUUAUAAAAAUUACGAUUUUUAAGUCCCUGAGGUAAUAUGUAAGAAUGGUUUAAAAAUCCAAAAAUUGAGUGCUAUAUUGUUUGUGUUUUGACUUCGUCCUGACCUCGAUUGACAAGCCAUGUCUAACUUACCUCCAAAUCCUUACAACAUCACAAGUUCGCCUCAGUUGAACGCUAAUCCGGGGCCACAGUUCAAUCAUAACCAGUCGAUGAGUCACUUGCCACCGGGCCAGUUACCGCCGGGAUACGUUGGCUUGAAACAAGAUGCUAACUCCAAUAGUCCGCUGCCGCCGUCGUCUACGCCUCAGAACCACAUGAUCAACCAAGUGAACAACUACAAUCAGAGCACGAGCAACUCGCCGGCCUUCAACAAUCCAGGGAUGAUGCCACCUUCACUUAGUGGCAUGCAAUCAUCCCCUAUGAGGCAUUCUAUUAAGCCACCUAUGGCUACAACUCCUAACCAAAACCCUUUAUUACCAAAUGUGCCUCCAUCCUCCAGGGUAGGUCCUACUGCAACAUCUUCUCCCCUGCCAUAUCCACCUAAUUACCAGCAAAAGCAGAUUAAUGAUAAUGCCCCCCCUCUCAUUCCAUCUAGUCAUAGUCAACCAUUAAUGAAUGGACCUCCUAUGGCUGGUCCGCCUGGUUCCAUAUCUCAGCCAGCCUCUCAAUAUCCUGGGCCACCUAGUGGGUUUGCCCCACCAAUGAAUAAUAGGCCUCCUGUUAGUGCACCCAAUUUUGGCCCUGGUUCUAUUAAUCAACCUUAUGGACAGCAACAAGGACCUCCACCACAAGGUCCACCAAUAAUGAAGCCUCCUGGAUCAGCACCAAUCUCAAGUGCACCAAAUAUACCAUUUUCUGGACCACCUCAAUCGGGACUACCUAGAAAUAGUCCACUGCCUGGUUUACCUAUGGGUGGUCCCCCUCUAUCGGGACCUCCUAUUUCUGGUGGAUUGCAAUCUGGACCUGCUACUAGUGGACCUCCUGUAGGUCCUCCAAGACCAAUGGGUGUAAAUGGACCCAGUAUUAAUGGACCUCCAGUAUCAAGCAUUACAGGAUUACCUAUGGGCCCCCCUGGUCUACAAAAAGGCCCUACAGGUCUCCCUGCUGGACCCACAGGCCUUAUGUCAGGCCCGCCUUUGGGUGGUCCACCAACAAGUCAACCUUAUCCUGGCCCUCAAAGAAAUGGACCUCCAAUAGCUCCUCUAACGAUGCAAAGUGGACCACUGAAUCCUCCAAUGAGUCAAGCCCCACCUAUGAGUCAAUCUUCAAUGAUGAAUCAACUGCCUCCAAUGAACCAAGGGCCACCAAUGACCCAGGGCCCACCAAUGAAUCAUGGCCCUCCAAUGAAUCAUGGCCCACCAAUGAAUCAAAUGCCCCCAAUAAACCAAGGGCCCCCAAUGAACCAAGGGCCACCAAUAAACCAAGGGCCACCAAUGAACCAAGGUCCAGGUCCACAAUUGAAUCAGAUGGGACACAGUGUUCCUCCAGCAGGACUUCAGGGCCCACCGCCAGUUAGUGCCCCUCCUGGCCCACCAAGUGGUCCUAGUGGACCUCCAAAAGGCAAUAUGCAAGGGAGAUAUCCUCAGAUGCCUCAAGGCAACUUUGGGAACCAUCAGGCCACUAUGGGCAAUGCUAAUAUGGGCAAGCAGUACCAACAGCCCCUUCAAUACGGGCAACAGCAACUGACACAGCAGAUGGGACAACUAAGUGUCACCAAGCAAGGGUUUGACCAGCUGUGGGGCCACCAGGCUGUGGACCUAAUGGCUUGCAGACAAAUCCUGCCUGAAUACCCUGAAGACCCGCCGGAGAUCCGAUUGGGACAUCAGUUUUCUGAUGCACCUAAUUGCAGCCCUGAUAUCUUCAGAUGUACCGUCAACAAGAUUCCGGACACGAACAGCUUAUUGCAAAAGUCUCGCCUUCCCCUAGGAAUACUAAUUCACCCGUUCAAGGACCUCAAUCACUUGCCAGUGAUCCAGUGCACGACGAUAGUGCGGUGUCGCGCGUGCCGCACGUACAUCAACCCUUUCGUGUACUUCGUCGACGCCAAGCGGUGGAAGUGCAACCUCUGCUACCGGGUCAAUGACCUGCCGGAAGAAUUCCAAUACGACCCAGUUAGCAAGUCGUACGGCGAUCCGACUCGGCGGCCGGAGAUCAAAUCUGCGACCAUCGAGUUCAUAGCGCCGGGAGAGUAUAUGUUGCGGCCGCCACAGCCCGCCGUCUACCUGUUCUUGCUGGAUGUGUCGCAGAUCGCCAGGGACUCCGGGUAUCUCCAGGUGGUAUGCGACACCCUACGCAACAACUUGGACCAGUUACCGGGCGAUGCGCGCACGCAGGUCGGGUUCAUCUGUUACGAUGCGCACGUGCACUACUACCUCAUGAGUGAUGGACUCACGCGACCCAAAGAGAUGACCGUGCUUGAUGUUGAUGACGUAUUCCUGCCAUCGCCAGAGUCACUGCUGGUGAACUUGGGUGAACGCAAGGAACUCAUCAAGGAACUGCUGACUGUCCUGCCGCAGCGGCACAGCGGGCCCGGUGUACCCGCAUGCGCGCUGGGCGCUGCGCUACAAGCCGCGUAUAAACUUAUGGCACCAACAGGAGGUCGCAUCACAGUGUUCCAAACGUGUUUACCGAAUGUGGGCCCGGGGGCGUUGCAGCCGAGAGAGGACCCGAACGCGCGGUCGUCAGCGGACGUGCAGCACCUGAGCCCGGCCACGGACUUCUACAAGCGCCUCGCUCUAGACUGCAGCGGCGCGCAGGUGGCCGUCGACCUGUUUCUACUCAACUCGCAGUAUGCCGACCUCGCCACGCUCAGUGGUAUGAGCAAGUUCAGCGCGGGUACGGUAUACCACGUGCCACUGUUCAAGGCGUCUCGCAGCUGGCAGGCGGACCAGCUGACGCGGAUGUUGACGCGGUACCUCACCAGGAAGAUCGGCUUCGAGGCCGUCAUGCGGGUGCGGUGCACUCGGGGUAUAACAAUCCACACGUUCCACGGGAACUUCUUCGUGCGCUCGACAGACCUUCUUUCGCUGCCCAACGUGUCCCCCGAUGCCGGCUUCGGAAUGCAGCUCACUAUAGAAGAGUCUCUGUCCGACCUACAGCAAGUCUGCUUCCAGGCCGCAUUAUUGUACACUAGUAGUAAAGGCGAGAGAAGGAUACGAGUGCACACGCUAGCGUUGCCCGUGGCCACCAGCCUCACGGACGUGCUACACGCGGCCGACCAACAGUGCAUCAUAGGACUACUUAGUAAAAUGGCCGUGGACCGCUGCUCGUCGGCGUCGCUGCCGGAGGCGCGCGAGGCGCUCAUGAACGUGGCCGUGGACGCGCUGGCGGCGCACCGCCUGGCGCAGAACCUGCCGCCCGCCGCCGCCAGCGCCGCGCUGCUGGCGCCCAGCGCGCUGCGGCUGCUGCCGCUCUACCUGCUGGCCACGCUCAAGCGGAAAGCGUUCCGCACGGGCACGUCGACGCGGCUGGACGACCGCGUGGCCGACAUGUGCGACAUGAAGGCGCUGCCGCUGGCGCAGCUCAUGCGCGGCGUGUACCCCGACCUGUACCCCGUGCACGAGCUGCGCGCGCAUGCGCCGCACGACGACGACGCGCCCGACCCGCCGCGCCUGCACCUGUCGGCCGAGAGAAUAAACAUAAACGGCGCGUACCUCCUGGACGACGGCGAGACGAUGAUGAUCUACGUGUGCUCGGGCGCCAGCCCCGCCUUCCUGUCGGACACGUUCGGCGUGACGGCGCACGCGCAGCUGCCCGACGACGCGCACGCGCUGCCCGCGCUGGACUCGCCCGGCAACCAGCUGCUGCACGCCUUCAUCGACAAGCUCAACGACGACCGCCCCUACGCCGCCAACAUACUGUUGCUCAAGGACACGUCGCCGAGUAAAAAGCUGUUCACGGAGCGACUAGUGGACGACCGCGUCGAGUCAGCAUUCGCGUACUACGAGUUCCUACAACACAUCAAGAUGCAAAUAAAAUGAGUUCCGAGUGAGUUGGUGGCGCGGACUCGCGCAAGAGCGUGAUAAGAGGACUAGGGCAUUCCUCUACUAAAAUGACUCGUUUUCUAUCGAUUUUUCGGCUGAGAAUUAAGCCGUUUUUAAUAGACAUCACUACAUAGUAUAAAAAACUCGCUUUUUCUGUCC